Molecule: long non-coding RNA, 667 nt
Organism: Pollicipes pollicipes
Lineage: Eukaryota; Metazoa; Arthropoda; Thecostraca; Pollicipedomorpha; Pollicipedidae
Exons: 3
Source: RefSeq, a predicted model, not a curated record
CUGAGUGAGCGGCGCUGGUAGUCACUGGUGAAGGUCGGGGUCUUGUAACCGCCACGCUAUAUUCGUACUCAGGUGUUCCCGGUGGUGCGGUCUUUCGAAGUGGGGUACGAUUUUGUGUGCCUCGCGUUUGUGAAACCAGAGCUACGAGCUCAGCUCCCCCCGGCUCCCGUCCCUCCUGCCAAGGUGCGAGAGCCCAGCAACUGAAGAGUUUUUGAUGGAAGGGAAGAGACACUCUAUUCGUCUCCAGCAUUCUCUCCUAGAGCAUGAACAAUCCAGGUUCAAUGACAGCAUCACAGAGUACCUGAAAAUUGCAUCUACAGUAGUUGAGACAUCCAACAGAAACCAACUACAGCAGCUGAGCCAGCUUAAUGCAGAGCUUCUCCACCAAAUUACAGCUGCAGCUGAUGCUGCUGACUUGAUGCAGCAGAAAUAUGACACGGUGAUGAAGAUGAAGCACUCAGAGUCUUGGGAAUUGACUUCAUCUCUUGGUGCUCAUCUGGACUCUGACUUGAAGUCAUUGCCAAGAGAUGGCUCUGGCUCCGUGCUGCGUCCGUCCUCCACCAGCCUGCAUGAGUCUGGCUCAUACCACUCAGCUGGGCCGCGACGGGGCUCGCCAGUCGCAGCCAGCGCCAGCGCCGGCUCUUCGCAGCGACUUUCGCCACCAGAA